Molecule: ribosomal RNA, 460 nt
Filed under: uncultured bacterium
Lineage: Bacteria
Description: partial 16S ribosomal RNA
Rfam family: Bacterial small subunit ribosomal RNA
Source: RNAcentral
CCUACGGGAGGCAGCAGUGAGGAAUAUUGGUCAAUGGACGCAAGUCUGAACCAGCCAUGCCGCGUGCAGGAAGACGGCUCUAUGAGUUGUAAACUGCUUUUGUACGAGGGUAAACGCAGAUACGCGUAUCUGUCUGAAAGUAUCGUACGCAUAAGGAUCGGCUAACUCCGUGCCAGCAGCCGCGGGAAUACGGAGGAUUCAAGCGUUAUCCGGAUUUAUUGGGUUUAAAGGGUGCGUAGGCGGUCGGAUAAGUUAGAGGUGAAAUCCCGAGGCUCAACUUCGGAAUUGCCUCUGAUACUGGUAGGCUAGAGAGUAGGUGCGGUAUGCGGAAUGUGUGGUGUAGCGGUGAAAUGCUUAGAGAUCAUGAAGAACACCGAUUGCGAAGGCAGCUGACCAAGCUACGUCUGACGUUGAGGCUCGAAAGCGUGGGGAGCAAACAGGAUUAGAUACCCCUGUAGUC